CAAGAAAUGUACACACAUGCAGUGACUGAUGAAAUUGUGAAGUGACGCGAAGCAGUUAAGCAUACUUACAGAUUUUUCAUGACAUCCAGUCCAAUAAAUGUCUGAUCUCCAAUAACUUGGAUUUUGUUGUCACUUAGGUCUCUAGAAAUAAAGAUACAUCUUGUGAUGGUGACAUCCUAAGAUGGAAGCAGAGACAACAGAAGAUUGACCUUGGCAAACAAGUGAUACCCUUUUCCGGAAGAGGGAGGAGAAUGAUCCAUCAAAGAGAUGAUUAUCUGCUUAUCUCCCUCCUACGAUUUGUCCUUACAGCUUUGAUGGAUGCUGUAUCACCUAAGACAAGACACAGAAGCACCGUGGGUACAAAUAUAUUGAUAUAGAAAGAAGAUAAUGAUCAUAACAAAAAAACCUUUUAUUUUCUUAAAACUGUUAAUUUUUAAUUAAUUGAUUGUUUUAAAGUCAGAAAAUUCAUAGCAAAUUAGUUGACCCUGCAUGCAUGAUUUUAUGUAUCUUUAACUUUCAUAUUUUCACCAUGCCCUAAAGGCAUGUCUGUAUCUGCCAUGGAAUGUUUACUGAUCUGUGUGUUGAAUUUUAAAUUUAUUCUGUAUAAAGCUUUAAAAGGUAUUAUAAUUGACAAGUGCUUGAGGCAAGAUUACACUUUCAUUCAGAAUCAUUGCAGUAGUAAGUGUCAGUUGAAGGAACAUGUCACACAAAGUCAGUGUUGAUUCUUUGCAGCUUCAUUUCUUAACCAGGUGGUAAACCUGCUUGCUCAC
Long non-coding RNA from Lingula anatina, 770 nucleotides. Lineage: Eukaryota; Metazoa; Brachiopoda; Lingulata; Lingulida; Lingulidae. The record is from RefSeq and is a predicted model, not a curated record.